UGGGGAAUCUUGGACAAUGGGCGCAAGCCUGAUCCAGCCAUGCCGCGUGGAUGAUGAAGGCCUUAGGGUUGUAAAAUCCUUUCGUUGGGGACGAUAAUGACGGUACCCAAAGAAGAAGCUCCGGCUAACUUCGUGCCAGCAGCCGCGGUAAUACGAAGGGGGCUAGCGUUGUUCGGAUUUACUGGGCGUAAAGCGCGUGUAGGCGGGCUGGAAAGUUGGGGGUGAAAUCCCGAGGCUCAACCUCGGAACUGCCUCCAAAACUUCCAGCCUGGACUCAAGCAGAGGCAAGUGGAAUUGCGAGUGUAGAGGUGAAAUUCGUAGAUAUUCGCAGGAACACCAGUGGCGAAGGCGACUUGCUGGGCUUGUGGUGACGCUGAGACGCGAAAGCGUGGGGAGCAAAC
This 401-nucleotide ribosomal RNA is filed under the name uncultured bacterium. RNAcentral describes it as "bacterial SSU rRNA". It matches the Rfam family "Bacterial small subunit ribosomal RNA", at positions 355 to 773 of the family's 1533-position model. The record is from RNAcentral.